This 352-nucleotide long non-coding RNA is filed under the name Mytilus galloprovincialis (Mediterranean mussel). The record is from RNAcentral. Lineage: Eukaryota; Metazoa; Mollusca; Bivalvia; Mytilida; Mytilidae.
CAGUAUCAAAUAUCAGUUUCAUAACAGUAAAAUAUAGGAAAACUCCACUUCAGUUCUUAUAUGACGCAUUUAUCAAAACUUGGUAAUUCCCUCUGACGUGUUUCUAAAUUUAUAAAAACACUAAAUAUAAAUACUGCUUAAUUCUGAUUUUCCGUUUGGUUAAAAACACGCAUAUAAGUCAAGGGAAAUAUCAAACAUGAAGAUUAUGAGAAGAACAUUUCAGGAAAGUUGUUUAUGUUCAAUUCUUUUGCUUGUUUUUACCUUUUAAAGCAAGACAAUCAUAAGAAUCUGAGAUGUUGUUGAAUGUUUAGAAUAAAACGGUUGACGUGAGGGAAUGCAGCCCUGAGUCUAC